This 520-nucleotide ribosomal RNA is filed under the name uncultured bacterium. Its description in RNAcentral is "partial 16S ribosomal RNA". It matches the Rfam family "Bacterial small subunit ribosomal RNA", at positions 355 to 867 of the family's 1533-position model. The record is from RNAcentral.
UGGGGAAUUUUGGACAAUGGGCGAAAGCCUGAUCCAGCAAUGCCGCGUGUGUGAAGAAGGCCUUCGGGUUGUAAAGCACUUUUGCCCGGAAAGAAAUCCUUGGCUCUAAUACAGUCGGGGGAUGACGGUACCGGAAGAAUAAGCACCGGCUAACUACGUGCCAGCAGCCGCGGUAAUACGUAGGGUGCAAGCGUUAAUCGGAAUUACUGGGCGUAAAGCGUGCGCAGGCGGUUUGCUAAGACCGAUGUGAAAUCCCCGGGCCCAACCUGGGAACUGCAUUGGUGACUGGCAGGCUAGAGUAUGGCAGAGGGGGGUAGAAUUCCACGUGUAGCAGUGAAAUGCGUAGAGAUGUGGAGGAAUACCGGUGGCGAAGGCAGCCCCCUGGGCCAAUACUGACGCUCAUGCACGAAAGCGUGGGGAGCAAACAGGAUUAGAUACCCUGGUAGUCCACGCCCUAAACGAUGUCAACUAGUUGCUUGGGGAUUCAUCUCCUUAGUAACGUAGCUAACGCGUGAAGUUG